This 373-nucleotide unclassified non-coding RNA is filed under the name uncultured fungus. RNAcentral describes it as "partial contains 5.8S ribosomal RNA, internal transcribed spacer 2, and large subunit ribosomal RNA". The record is from RNAcentral. Lineage: Eukaryota; Fungi.
AACGCAAAUUGCGCUCUUGGGAUAUGCCUGAGAGCAUGCCUUUUUGAGUAUCGGAUCUAUCUCUAUACGCUCUGCGUGUAGGAAAAUGAGCUGUCUUUUUCUUCUUAGGAAGAGAAAGUCGCUUGAAGUACAAGUCGAGUUGCGUCCUUUUCACCUGCCACGGUGUGAGUUUUCCUUGACUGGAAAAUUCAGCGACUUAGUGACGUGGGUAAGCCCAUCAAAACGUCUGCUAAGCUUCGUCAUAGAUCGUGGAUUUUGGAGUCAAGGAAAGAGCGCGUAAGAAAGGCCACGAAAGUGUUGUCUUUCAAAAAAGACUCUGUCUUUUUUCUAACUAUAAGAUCUCAAAUAAGGUAAGAUUACCCGCUGAACUUAA